GAAAUUUUCCAUUCUGGCAGUGUUCUGUUCAAUAACACUCAACUAUAAUGGUAGGCCUUAGCACAUCUGAUCUGAAAAACACAGGAAGAGGAAAUGCGUUGUUUAUCUGACUAAAUAUAGUUGGAUUGGAUGUCUUCUUUCCAUAAAAUGGUCAGAGAGGAUGGCUGAUAUAUAUUGGUGUGGAUUUUCAAGUGCUGUAAACAAUAUAGUUCCUUGUAUUCCAGUAGUUUUAACAGUAUUUGCAGCCCAUUGAGACCCCAUUGCGGAAUACAAAUCUGAAUUAAACGAGCUUUGGGUUGGAUAAUGAGAGAUGCAGGGUACUCAUAUUUCCUCUAGACUAGAUGCACAUUGUAAGCCUUUCAGUUGUGCUAAGGGUGAGAAGAAUCUGGGUGAGUUCAGACCUGAAAAUAUCAGUUGAAUGCACUUACUAUUACUUAUAAUCUGUUUUGUUUUAAAAGAAGAAUCCAUUAAUUACCAGUUUAUUUCAUGUUUACAGCAUGUAUGUAUUUGCACUGUGUACUGUGGGAGAGAGGGAAACACCUUCCAGAGGCCUCCUGCAUCAGAAAUGACAAGAAAAGCACUGGAAAGAGCUGUCAGCGUGCUGGUGGCUGACAGGCCGAACUGCUUUGUCUGUAACUUGUGGUCGUGACUGGUUGGAGCUCAAAACUGCUGGUAACUGUGCAUUACAUGCAGUAUUGUUUCUGUCUGUAACUGUGAAGGAAACUCAUGCAGAAUCCACACAUGGCAUGAAAUAAUUUUUCUAAUGCAUGACUUGCUGACUUUGGGCAAAAGCCUAUUUUCUUCCUGCUCACCGAGGAACCGAAGCAGGCAAAUACACUCCCUUCUCCUCUGCAGAGCAGAGAAAGGAUUUCUGAAGCCCAUGCAAAGUGAUUCACAGCGAGAUGCAGUCCUAAAGGCCAGAAAGCCCCAGCAUGCAGACAUUCUCCUCCUCCUUCUCUAUUUUCCUCUGAAAUGAGAGCACAGCAGUAACUCUGACAACUGGUCUCUGGCUGCUGAGUAAUAAGCUGUAGUUUAAGGUCAGGAGUAUUUUCCCUUUUGCACUUAAUGGAGUACUGUGUAUUCGAAUUGGAUCUCAGUGUUUGCUUUUGUAGAUACGGUGGUCCCGAUUUGCAUCCUCCACCACUUCCUCCUCUCUGUCUAUAUUCAUAUCUCCCAAGGAGAGAAGAUAAUUGUUAAGAUUCUGUAAUGUUAAAUAUCUCUGCCCUUACCUAAAUACACACACAUGUAGAGCGCAAUGAAAUAUAGUUACUUUCUUUAAUUUAUUAUUUAUUGGAAGAUAAUUUUGCCUGCAUUUCGUAGUAAUGAAAAUAUAGUAUUGAUGAAAGAACAGUAAAACUGUUGAGAGGUAUUCACAGUGCCUGGGAUGAUCGUAUAAAUUACAGAUGGGAAGGGCAAGUGCAGGGCUCAGUUCCGUGCCCUGAGCAGUGCUGCGUUAUGCUUGCGUUCUCCAUCAGGCUUUUGAUAUCCCAGGGCUGAGUACGUGUGGUAUGUGGCAUGACACAAACUUGUUGGGUCAAGUGACUUAAGGUUUGUGAUGUAUUAAAAUUAGGUAGGAAAUGAAAGCUGUAGCAGAAGGUGAACAUUUCAAUAACUGUACGUGCUCAGUAGCUUGAAUUUCUGUAUUGUUAUUUCACUGUUGAAAAGGGAGGUAUUGAAGCACAGGCGGGUUGUAGACGGUAUUUUCAAGCUUAGCAGUCUGAGCUUUUGGGUUUUUUUCCUUCUGCGGUGAAGAGCAUCUGCAUUUUUUCAGUGGAUACUCAUUUGAAAAAUGACUUAAUGCAGCAUUUAAAAUGUUGAAUGGUAACUGAGGAUUCCACAGCACUUUUCAUGAAUUAAGGUGGAAUUCAUCUGACUGUAUGUUGAUGUCUGCAUUUGAGCAAGACACUGCAGUAGCUGACCAGUACAGCUAACGAGUGCAUGUCAGCAGCUCAUCCUAACUGCCUGCAGUCUAUCAGACGAGCUGCACCCUGAACUCCACUGACUGUUACAGGUGGUUCGCAGACACUGGAGUUAGGGCCAUCUGAAGUUAGGUGAGAUGAAGCCUCACCUUGGAGCGUGCUGGCUGGCUGGCAGCACUAGGCGUUGUGUCCCAUUAGGCUUUCCUUGUGGUUAGCCAUGGUACUGUCCUCCACUCCCCACCUGGCACUCACUGGGAGGUGUGAGGCCUUGGUUUGGUUUGGUUUUGGUUUUGAUAGUUAUUCUAGAGCAGGUGGCACUACAGUGGUGGAUAAAGUAACUGAUCCUUGGUUAUAGAACUGUGGCAUAAAUAUGGUUUGGGGGUUUCUAAAGUUUUUUAGAGAGAGUGUUACUAUAUGAACACUGGAUUGUGCGUAUCUUAAAAUGUGUUAAGACAAGUAAGAUUUGUGUCCCCAUUGAUUAAAGCAUUUCCUUACACUUAUUCAGCACUAGAUAUCUAUCAUGAAACUUAUGUAAAGAAUCUGCCAGAAUGAUGGAAGAUUCAAGUUGUCUUCAUUGGUGAUACAAAACAACCCACCACAAGAGCUCCACUCCGAUUCUAAAGUGUUCCCCAUGCCUCCAGUUCCAGCUUACAGAAGCGUUUCUAAUUCUGCUUAGUUGGUUAUCUGCAUGUAUGCUUACAGUUUGUACAGAAAUGCACUAAAAAUGAGUUGCCCGACCCGGGAAGGCUUUAUAUUGUAUAGAAAAUGUGGCACUAGGUACUGCUCUUCAUGUGCACAGGAGAGUUAACAGGUGUCGAUCUCGUUUACAGAAAUGAUGGAGCUUUGCAAUUUUCUAUAAUACAUUGCAAUAUAUUUAAAUGUCCUGUUUGACAUGUGAAAUGAAAUUAAGUUAAUGCAUUGUUAUGUAUUUGAGUAUGAGGAAGACGAUUCACUAACAACCAGCAAGGUUUUUAGAAGGUGUCCAGUAUGUAGCAGUCUGUGUGAUCUGUCUGGUGUAUGUGAAGUUGUUAAAGGAAGCAACACUAUUAUUAUCGUUUAGAAUUAAGAGUUUUUUACGAGUGAUGCAAUAGCUUACAGUGUCUUUCCUUUGUAGCUGCCCAAUGUGGUGAAGGGGAAGCAAUUCUUGAAAAAGUCCAAGAUAACUGGUUAACUGUGAAUGGGCCUAAUCUUUCGUGCAACCAAGAAACUAUUUGGACACACACACAGGACUUGAAUACUCAAAAGGAUUGGAACUUAGUGUUGUGCCAAAGUUAAACUACUGCAGUUGGCAGAAGUUCUGCACUGUAAAUAGAAGACUGAUUAAAAGACAGCUUGUAAAAGAGAAAAAAAGAUCAAAUUUUAAUACACUACGUUUUUAUUCUGAUACGUGCCGGAAACAUUCUGUUUUAGACCUUUUUUGAAGAGGCUUCAGUGACCACUAGAUUUUGUCCUCUUAUAUUUUGUUUGGCCUAAUACUAUAUGUUCUAGUAAGAUGGGCUUUACUGCCUGUGUUCUUUGAUACGUGAUUAAGCUUAUAGCUUUGAGUGACCAAACAUUUUACAGAGUAAAAGUUCUUAGAAACAGUAUAAUGUAACUGAUAUUUCUGUGUCUUAUUUAUCAGGCUCUGCACAAACUUGGGAAGUUGUGCUGGACUUGUACAACUUACACGUGGGAACGCAGCAUACUGCUUGGUAUUACAGACCUAAGCCUUCGAGGCAGUACGGAUCUUGUCUUUGGAUUUAUUUUUGUUAUUCUUUUGAGGCAAAGAGAUGAACGGAUGCUGCUGUAAAAUAUUUG
This 3716-nucleotide long non-coding RNA is filed under the name Gallus gallus (chicken). RNAcentral's name for it is "long non-coding RNA NONGGAT004554". The record is from RNAcentral. Lineage: Eukaryota; Metazoa; Chordata; Aves; Galliformes; Phasianidae.